This 319-nucleotide ribosomal RNA is filed under the name uncultured eukaryote. Its description in RNAcentral is "partial 18S ribosomal RNA". It matches the Rfam family "Eukaryotic small subunit ribosomal RNA", at positions 1470 to 1796 of the family's 1831-position model. The record is from RNAcentral.
CCCUUAGAUGUUCUGGGCAGCACGCGCGCUACAAUGGUCUUCGCAAACGGAUGCAUUCUCGAAGGAGAAUGCCAAUCUUGGAAUCUAUGCCUUGGUCGGGACAGUUGCUAGCAAUUUUUCGACUCGAACCAGGAAUUCCUUGUAAUCGUGAUUCAUCACAUCACGAUGAAUACGUCCCUGCCCUUUGUACACACCGCCCGUCGCUCCUACCGAUCGAAGAGUUAGGUGAAUUGUUUUGAUCGAUAAGAUUUGACUAUGGUCAACUCUCGUUGUGAAAUUCUGUGAAUCUGACUGUUUAGAGGAAGGAAAAGUCGUAACA